GAAGAAGAAAACUCCUUGACGCUGGGGCAAUCAACGACGAGUUUGUACGCGGUGCCGUGUUCAAAACCGCAAAAUUGGAGUCCUAGCCAGCCAAUCAAAGGAUGCCCGGGAUAAACAUAGAUCUCGGGUUUCAUCAAAGAGGCUGAUGAGUCGCGCGCGAACGCGCCUCCACUUGGAAGCCCGGCUUAUUAAUGUUCAUUCGUCAGCCGGUUAAUGAAGGUGCCUCUUGAAGACGGUGUACGCCGUCUAACCCAGAAGAUCAUCAAAGCGUUCACGGAAUAAUGAAAUGGUGUCGAGUCACGCUCGAGCUGGUCCGUGCCGAUUAGUUCGUGCCUCUUUAUCGAUAACACUCUCAUUGCCUAAUUGCAAGAGAAUCCUCAACGUUCACGUGGCUGGUGAAUGCCAUGGAAGGCAAUAAAAUACGAUGUAGAUCGACCAAUCAGAUCUCUACAACGGACAGUGCCAAAUAGUAAAAGAGGAUCACUCGGUUUAAGAAUAAUUUGUCAUAUUCAUAGCAAAGCAGAUAGGGACGAACGUGUCAUGCAAAUGCUACAAUGAGAAACGAAGGAUUAACGUUAAAACUGGCGCGAGUAACUAUUGUCCUAAUAAGAAGAUGGCGCAAGGAUAUUGGCAAUAUCCUCUCGAAUUACGUAUGCAGCUGUCUGUUUCGAAGUCAAUCGAUCCCAGCGGCGAAGACUCGAAUCUUGAUCAGGCCCUGUCCGCCCGCUGAAUUAGACAUCGGACUUUUUCUCGCCAUGCGUCGAACAUGCGAGCUUAAUUAAACAGACGUUGGAUGGCCAACGUGAACAGAAACUUUAAUCGGCUUGUAAACUGCACAACUUAUGGAAAACAAGCUAUUCGAAUUUUCGACCUGUAAGGACAAGGGAGACACAUUGCGGUGAAACACAAGAGGAAGGUCACGUGCUAAGGACAGCAAUGCACGUUCAUCGCGACCACCUGGCAAAUUACAACAAAUUACAAAAACAGUAGUUUUAGCAAACACAUGAACGAUAGUUGAAUUAUUCUGUAAAGCGGAUCGCCAGUAACCGUGGAUACCCUGGAUAUUGAGAGCACAAAGACAAUUUUUGUGCUGUUACUGUAUGAACUGUAUGAACUAAUUUCAUCUCAGCUAACCAAACAAUCAUCCAUUAAAAUCACAAACAUAGCUGUUGAGGUUAACUGAAAGAAGAAUGGAUGAAUUUGUAAUAGCAAAUAUAUUGAAGUAAGUGUAAGUACAAAUAUAGUGUAUGACGUCAAAAUUAAAUAAAUUAUUGUCAUUAUUAAUUAAUUGAAAUUGUGAUAUUGUUGAGGUUAACUGAUAGAGGAACCAGUGGAUGAAUUUGUA
Long non-coding RNA from Bombus pyrosoma, 1345 nucleotides. RefSeq lists it as uncharacterized. NCBI's taxonomy places the organism in Eukaryota, Metazoa, Arthropoda, Insecta, Hymenoptera, Apidae. The record is from RefSeq and is a predicted model, not a curated record. The transcript is spliced from 4 exons.